Molecule: microRNA precursor, 80 nt
Filed under: Branchiostoma floridae (Florida lancelet)
Lineage: Eukaryota; Metazoa; Chordata; Leptocardii; Amphioxiformes; Branchiostomatidae
Description: mir-2060 microRNA precursor family
Rfam family: mir-2060 microRNA precursor family
Source: Rfam by way of RNAcentral
GUGUGGUGUUCAGCACCAGCGACAGGUAUGUAUAUCUGUGUGUGGAUGGUGUUCAGCACCAAGGACAGAUGUGUGUACCU